CUCUGUAAUUUGGAUCUCCAUAUCUAAAAUUAAUUUAAAUAUUAAACACACCCAAUACGAUUGUUUUGCUUCUAAUAAGGAUUAAGUAUAUCUUAGUUGGAAUCCAAUAGAAGGAACUGUUCUAUUACAGCGAAAAACAAAUUCAAUUUUGAAAAUCUGAAUUAUUUGAUCAAAAUGGAGCUUUCUUAAUAACAGGUUUCUAAAUAAUGGAUCUCAUACCUGUACAUUGUAAGUAUGUCUCCAGCUAUUGUAAAAUUACAAUUCUCAGAACUCAUAUCAGCUUCUGAUUUUAUGUAUAGAAGAAAUCUAACAACUGUUAGACAAUGCAGCGGCCAUUUUUAUGCUAUAUCUAUACUUACAACAUUGUUAUUGCCAUUGAACAACAGAUCGGAAUUCUCUGCAAGAAACUGUAAAGAGCGGAUAAGGCUCAGUAUGAAAUGGUUCAGAACUACGAAUGGCAACUCCAAGAGCUAAAAUAUCAGCUGUGUAAGUUGAAGAAAAGUUAUGAGAAGCUCCAUUUGCACCAAGAGAAGCAACAAAAGAAUUAAACUGCUGAGCGGGGUGCAGAGCAGGAGAGGAGCCGGCAUGAGCGCCAAUGGCUGACUCAGAAGCUGGAGGCAAAAGGAGCCCCCCCCCAUAAAAUUUAUUGUCUAUCAAU
Molecule: long non-coding RNA, 658 nt
Organism: Xenopus laevis (African clawed frog)
Lineage: Eukaryota; Metazoa; Chordata; Amphibia; Anura; Pipidae
Exons: 3
Source: RefSeq, a predicted model, not a curated record